RNAcentral lists this ribosomal RNA (465 nucleotides) under uncultured bacterium. Its description in RNAcentral is "partial 16S ribosomal RNA". It matches the Rfam family "Bacterial small subunit ribosomal RNA", at positions 338 to 795 of the family's 1533-position model. The record is from RNAcentral.
CCUACGGGAGGCAGCAGUAGGGAAUCUUCCACAAUGGGCGAAAGCCUGAUGGAGCAACGCCGCGUGGGUGAAGAAGGUCUUCGGAUCGUAAAACCCUGUUGUUAGAGAAGAAAGUGCGUGAGAGUAACUGUUCACGUUUCGACGGUAACUAACCAGAAAGCCACGGCUAACUACGUGCCAGCAGCCGCGGUAAUACGUAGGUGGCAAGCGUUAUCCGGAUUUAUGGGGCGUAAAGGGAACGCAGGCGGUCUUUUAAGUCUGAUUUGAAAGCCUUCGGCUUAACCGGAGUAGUGCAUUGGAAACUGGGAGACUUGAGUGCAGAAGAGGAGAGUGGAACUCCAUGUGUAGCGGUGAAAUGCGUAGAUAUAUGGAAGAACACCAGUGGCGAAAGCGGCUCUCUGGUCUGUAACUGACGCUGAGGUUCGAAAGCGUGGGUAGCAAACAGGAUUAGAUACCCGAGUAGUC